Molecule: ribosomal RNA, 759 nt
Filed under: uncultured bacterium
Lineage: Bacteria
Description: bacterial SSU rRNA
Rfam family: Bacterial small subunit ribosomal RNA
Source: RNAcentral
AGAGUUUGAUCAUGGCUCAGCCUGAACGCUGGCGGCGUGGCUAAGACAUGCAAGUCGCACGGUGUAGCAAUACACAGUGGCGAACGGGAGAGUAAUGAAUCGCUAACGUACCCCGGACUCUGGGAUAGCUGCCCGAAAGGGCAGGUAAUACCAGAUGAUAUAUUCCCUUGGCAUCUUGGGAAUCUCAAAGGUCCGCCGGUCUGGGAGCGGGCGAUUUCGUAUCAGCUAGUUGGUGAGGUAACGGCUCACCAAGGCGACGACGCGUAGCCGGACUGAGAGGUUGGCCGGCCUCAUUGGGACUGAGACACUGCCCAGACUCCUACGGGGGGCUGCAGUAACGAAUCUUCCGCAAUGCACGAAAGUGUGACGGAGCGACGCCGCGUGUGGGAUGAAGUCCUUCGGGAUGUAAACCACUGUCAGGGGUUAGAAAGUUCUGAUCAACCCCAGAGGAAGAGGCGGCUAACUCUGUGCCAGCAGCCGCGGUAAUACAGAGGCCUCGAGCGUUAGGCGGAAUCACUGGGCUUAAAGCGUGUGUAGGCGGAUUGCUAAGUACCUUGUGAAAUCCCACGGCUUAACCGUGGAACUGCUUGGUAUACUGGCUGUCUUGAGCCACUUAGGGGCGACCGGAACAAACGGUGGAGCGGUGAAAUGCGUAGAUAUCGUUUGGAACGCCAAAGGUGAAAACAGGUCGCUGGGAGUGUGCUGACGCUGAGACACGAAAGCCAGGGGAGCAAACGGGAUUAGAUACCCUAGUAGUCC